Molecule: ribosomal RNA, 556 nt
Filed under: fungal endophyte
Lineage: Eukaryota; Fungi
Description: eukaryotic LSU rRNA
Rfam family: 5.8S ribosomal RNA (bases 183-336)
Source: RNAcentral
CGUAACAAGGUUUCCGUAGGUGAACCUGCGGAAGGAUCAUUACCUAGAGUUGUAGGCUUUGCCUGCUAUCUCUUACCCAUGUCUUUUGAGUACCUUCGUUUCCUCGGCGGGUCCGCCCGCCGAUUGGACAAUUUAAACCAUUUGCAGUUGCAAUCAGCGUCUGAAAAAACUUUAAUAGUUACAACUUUCAACAACGGAUCUCUUGGUUCUGGCAUCGAUGAAGAACGCAGCGAAAUGCGAUAAGUAGUGUGAAUUGCAGAAUUCAGUGAAUCAUCGAAUCUUUGAACGCACAUUGCGCCCCUUGGUAUUCCAUGGGGCAUGCCUGUUCGAGCGUCAUUUGUACCUUCAAGCUCUGCUUGGUGUUGGGUGUUUGUCUCGCCUCUGCGCGUAGACUCGCCUCAAAACAAUUGGCAGCCGGCGUAUUGAUUUCGGAGCGCAGUACAUCUCGCGCUUUGCAUUCAGAACGACGACGUCCAAAAGUACAUUUUUACACUCUUGACCUCGGAUCAGGUAGGGAUACCCGCUGAACUUAAGCAUAUCAAUAGGCAGGAGGAAA